This 497-nucleotide ribosomal RNA is filed under the name uncultured bacterium. Its description in RNAcentral is "partial 16S ribosomal RNA". It matches the Rfam family "Bacterial small subunit ribosomal RNA", at positions 28 to 507 of the family's 1533-position model. The record is from RNAcentral.
GAUGAACGCUGGCGGCGUGCCUAAUACAUGCAAGUCGAGCGAACAGACGAGGAGCUUGCUCCUCUGACGUUAGCGGCGGACGGGUGAGUAACACGUGGAUAACCUACCUAUAAGACUGGGAUAACCUCGGGAAACCGGAGCUAAUACCGGAUAAUAUAUUGAACCGCAUGGUUCAAUAGUGAAAGACGGUUUUGCUGUCACUUAUAGAUGGAUCCGCGCCGCAUUAGCUAGUUGGUAAGGUAACGGCUUACCAAGGCAACGAUGCGUAGCCGACCUGAGAGGGUGAUCGGCCACACUGGAACUGGGACACGGUCCAGACUCCUGCGGGAGGCAGCAGUAGGGAAUCUUCCGCAAUGGGCGAAAGCUUGACGGAGCAACGCCGCGUGAGUUAUGAAGGUCUUAGGAUAGUAAAGCUAUGUUAUUAGGGAAGAACAAAUGUGUAAGUAACUAUGCACGUCUUGACGGUACCUAAUCAGAAAGCCACGGCUAACUACGUG